This 27-nucleotide small RNA is filed under the name Bombyx mori (domestic silkworm). RNAcentral describes it as "ovarian small RNA-29483". The record is from RNAcentral. Lineage: Eukaryota; Metazoa; Arthropoda; Insecta; Lepidoptera; Bombycidae.
UCUAGAUGCAAACGCAAUAGGACGGUC